GAUGAAGACGUAGCGAAAUGCGAUAAGUAAUGUGAAUUGCAGAAUUCAGUGAAUCAUCGAAUCUUUGAACGCACAUUGCGCCCGCCAGUAUUCUGGCGGGCAUGCCUGUUCGAGCGUCAUUACAACCCUCAGGCCCCCGGGCCUGGCGUUGGGGAUCGGCGGAAGCCCCCUGCGGGCACAACGCCGUCCCCCAAAUACAGUGGCGGUCCCGCCGCAGCUUCCAUUGCGUAGUAGCUAACACCUCGCAACUGGAGAGCGGCGCGGCCACGCCGUAAAACACCCAACUUCUGAAUGUUGACCUCGAAUCAGGUAGGAAUACCCGCUGAACUUAAGCAUAUCAAUAAGCGGAGGA
RNAcentral lists this unclassified non-coding RNA (352 nucleotides) under soil metagenome. RNAcentral's name for it is "partial contains 5.8S ribosomal RNA, internal transcribed spacer 2, and large subunit ribosomal RNA". The stretch from base 1 to 119 matches the Rfam family "5.8S ribosomal RNA", at positions 35 to 154 of the family's 154-position model. The record is from RNAcentral.